CUUCCUAUAUGUGCAAGUGUGUCAAAUUUAUCUUCAAAUUGCGUAGAAUCUAAAGCCUAUCCUCUGAUACCAACUGUAACACUCCAGGUUCCACAAACAACCCGGUAUGCUACUGUACUACACUUCCGACGUCCAUAAAUAAAAUUUCGGCAGCAUCCCCUUUGCAAGAUUGCAUAAAAGAGGGAGCAACAGAGUAUAAACAUAUAUCAUGACUAAAACAUACUAAGUAUUAUUACUCGGCUAGCAAGGAAAGAUAAACAUACGACCUGAACUGAAUUAACCAGUGCGCACGACCAUAUAAAAAAAUAAACAAACUUCCUUUGACAAUAAGUUUCUAAUUAAAUCAUGGCUGCGCCUGGGCAGCGUUAUUGUGAGAGUGAAAGUGGACGUGCUGCUACUCCCCUCAUUCCCAACAUGUAUCAAGUACCUGCAUUGAGUAAUGCAAGAGUGAGAUGACACAUCUCAGCAAGUAAAAUAAUAUCAAACAGUUUAACCACAUAAGAACAUUGUUUUACCACCACUUAAUUUCACAACCUUCUUAUUACGAAGGUGCAGCACGUAUACAACGUACAACGCACCUAGUUACCACACCUCGCAGGUAGAAACCACAAUAGUAACAUAGUAAUGUCACACUUCAUAUAUUCAUCAUGAGUGCAAAUGUCUGCAAAUGGAAGGAUGACUUCUGCCUUCAUACCUCUAAGGAUAUGAAGCCGCAUCGUACCCCUCCUCGGGCAACGUACGAUGCUAAAAAUGUACCGGUACGGUCGGACCAUAAGAUCACGACAUAACUUCAAAAUGCAAGAUGAAUGAUGCGAUGUGCAUGUCAUGCCUACAACACUUCAUAUAACAUGAUUCAAAAAGACACUUCAACUUCAUCCAGAUGGGAAUCAACCAGAUAUAUCAUUACCAAAUUAUGAUCAUCCACAAUAUUAGACAAUUGAGAAUUAAUACUUCCAAACAAAUAAACUUCAUCAUAGAAUUCAAUGAUUAACAUAAUUAAAACUUAUGCAUACUCAAUGACAGGGAAUAGGAUGCAAACCAAACGGUAGCAACCACCACUGUAUUUACUUGCCUUUACCGGAAGUUCGGGCAAAUCCCAAGUACGAUCCGGAAGCCCACCACCUGUUUUUGACACCCAACUUAGUACACCAAUUUCACAUAAUCAGGCUCAUAAGCGACGCCGCACCUACGCACAAACUCAAACCCCGCCGCGGGUUACAUCUCUCCCUACACCCACCAAACUGCAGCGGCGCUGCUUAAUAAUUUCAUAACUUUAAAAUUAUGACAGCAGUGGUAACAAACAAAAACUCCAGAGGCAUCAACAUAAAAUUCCCCACAAGUUUUGUAUACAAUUUAUAAUUAAAUUCCAAUAUCUAAUUAGCCCAAAACAGUCCACAAGAUGAACCCUGUAAUCUGUUUUUCUUUGUCUUUUGGACAGCGACAUACCCAGAUUCAAACAGCGAUAUCUUUUAAAAUAUAAUUCCAAAUCAAGCGCAUAAGUACUCAUUGGAAAGAUAAGACAAAUCCCUACAUGAUUACCAUACUGGUUAACACUAAUUACCCACGAAAAAUUCCCAGAAACUGCUAAUACCACUGCUGUUCACCCACCUGAAAAAUCUGUUUUUUGGACAGCAACAUAACCGGAUUCAAACAACGAUAUCUCCUGAAUUAUAACUCCGAAUCGAGCGCAUAAGUACUUGUUGGAAAGAUAACAUAAAGCCCUACAUGAUUCUCAUACUGAUUAACACUAACUACUCCCGAAAAAUCCCCAGAAACUGCUAAUACUGCUGCUGUUCACCCCCCUGAAAAAUCUGUUUUUUUGGACAGCCACAUACCCGGAUUCAAACGGUGAUAACUUUCAAUUUAUAACUCCAAAUUGAGCGCAUAAAUACUCGUUGGAAAGGUAAGGUAAAGUUCUACAUGAUCCUCAUACUGAUUUCCCUUAAUUCCUCACGAAAAAAACACAGAAACUGCUAGACUACUGCUGUUCACCCACCACCUAAAAUUCUGGACAGCCCCCCUCUACCCCAAUCGCAAACGCAACCUCUAAUCAAUUAAAUUGCAGCGCAAAUGAACAAGGGAUGAACACAAAAAUCACCUUGGAUUCUCCCCCUUUCCUUCCUCCCUUCUUCCCUCCACCAAAACGAUUGAAGACUCGCACCACGACGACGAUGAUCCGACCGGCAAGGAUUGGCACCUUGGGAGGAGGGGAUUGAGAGGGGGGGCAGCUAGGGUUUGGUGGCUGCAAGAAUUGAGAGAGGAGGAGAUGGGCAGGGGGCGGCGGCCAAGGGGGAAGAGAAGUGGG
This 2305-nucleotide long non-coding RNA is filed under the name Zea mays. RNAcentral's name for it is "long non-coding RNA (ZMAY_LNC004211)". Lineage: Eukaryota; Viridiplantae; Streptophyta; Magnoliopsida; Poales; Poaceae. The record is from RNAcentral.